UACUUCAUACCACAUAAUACUAAGUAAGUAUAUCGACACUGACUUAUAAAUAUUUAUGGUAAUUAUGCUUAUAAUUCUGACUUUAGUUUUUUUUUGUUGUAACAGUCAGCAUUGGAUUUUGGCUAUAAUUUGGGAUGGUGAAAUUUAUAUUCUCAAUUCAUUGUCUCAUCCGACCCAAUUUCCCAAACUGGAAAAAGCCCUGAUAGAGUAAUCUUUUAUUUACUGUCAUAAUAUAUAUAUAUAUAUAUAAUAUAUUCACAUGUCUUGGGCUCUGACAUGAUAAAUUAACAGGGCGGUCAAGAGUUUCAAUGCCCAGACAGGCAGGACCAGCACAAUGCCUAAAGUAAAAAAUCUUCUUGUAAGUAUCUUCUUUUUUUUACAAUUUAAAUUAAUGGUCAUUUUAUGUCUGAGAAAAUGUACCUUUUUUUAUUGGCAUAGGGAACUCCGAAACAGCCAUCGGGCUAUGAAUGUGCGUAUGCAGUAAUGCGGU
Molecule: long non-coding RNA, 490 nt
Filed under: Daucus carota (carrot)
Lineage: Eukaryota; Viridiplantae; Streptophyta; Magnoliopsida; Apiales; Apiaceae
Description: long non-coding RNA (DCAR_LNC001909)
Source: RNAcentral